This is a long non-coding RNA of Oncorhynchus nerka (sockeye salmon), 885 nucleotides long. RefSeq lists it as uncharacterized. The transcript is spliced from 2 exons. The record is from RefSeq and is a predicted model, not a curated record. NCBI's taxonomy places the organism in Eukaryota, Metazoa, Chordata, Actinopteri, Salmoniformes, Salmonidae.
GUCCCAGUAACACUGGCCCAUGGAACAACUGGGGGGUCCCAGUAACACUGGCCCAUGGAACAACUGGGGGGUCCCAGUAACACUGGCCCAUGGAACAACUGGGGGGGUCCCAGUAACACUGGCCCAUGGAACAACUGGGGGGGGUCCCAGUAACACUGGCCCAUGGAACAACUGGGGGGUCCCAGUAACACUGGCCCAUGGAACAACUGGGGGGUCCCUGAGGAGAGGUCUGAGUAACACCACUUUUCACCAGGAGCCAAUGGUCAACAGUAGUAUACUAUGUAAAGGAAAGGGGGCCAUUUCGGAUGCAACCUGAGACUCUGGCUUUUCUUUUGUUUUUACAGUCCAGUUUCUUGGUUUGGUGACACUAAAAAGGGUGUCACAAUUUAUCAUUUUUGCGCCAUUGGGACGUGUAUUCUGCUAAGAUCAGGACACUGGCUAUGAGGGCUUGGCCCUCUGUCUGUCAAUCAGAACAUACCGGAUAAUGAUUGGUCCAAUAUUACUGGGGCAGCAAUGCAUUCUGGAACUUCUAGAAAUUGUCAUCACUUCUGAGGUCAAACCAUAGAUGACAUUAAAUAUCACAAGAUCCAAAAAUUAUGUAAUAACAUUGACAAUGGUAUUGUGAAUGCACUACUAGUUAGUCAUUUAGUCUUAAGGCAGAACUUGUAUUUUUGUUUAAGUUUUUUGUUGUUGAAGAAAACAGGUUCCGGACUAAAGGCGUUUGAGUCAUUUAGAGUUUUCAGUGAGAUUCUUGGUGAAGUGUCAGCAUUUUUCUGGCUAAUCUGUUGUUGCCAUGCAAACAGCUGGCUAAUCUGUUGUUGCCAUGCAAACAGCUGAGUGGCGGCAUGUAAAAAAAAUAAAUAGUUUCAGUGUUAAGGAUGAUAA